This 429-nucleotide ribosomal RNA is filed under the name Pseudomonadota bacterium. Its description in RNAcentral is "Proteobacteria bacterium partial 16S ribosomal RNA". It matches the Rfam family "Bacterial small subunit ribosomal RNA", at positions 355 to 776 of the family's 1533-position model. The record is from RNAcentral. Lineage: Bacteria; Pseudomonadati; Pseudomonadota.
UGGGGAAUAUUGGACAAUGGGCGAAAGCCUGAUCCAGCCAUGCCGCGUGUGUGAAGAAGGUCUUCGGAUUGUAAAGCACUUUAAGUUGGGAGGAAGGGCAGUAAGCGAAUACCUUGCUGUUUUGACGUUACCGACAGAAUAAGCACCGGCUAACUCUGUGCCAGCAGCCGCGGUAAUACAGAGGGUGCAAGCGUUAAUCGGAAUUACUGGGCGUAAAGCGCGCGUAGGUGGUUCGUUAAGUUGAAUGUGAAAGCCCCGGGCUCAACCUGGGGACUGCAUCCAAAACUGGCGAGCUAGAGUAGGGCAGAGGGUGGUGGAGUUUCCUGUGUAGCGGUGAAAUGCGUAGAUAUAGGAAGGAACACCAGUGGCGAAGGCGACCACCUGAGCUCAUACUGACACUGAGGUGCGAAAGCGUGGGGAGCAAACAGG